Solanum pennellii is the source of this 2690-nucleotide RNA transcript. It is a transcript of the gene named protein SYS1 homolog, with no coding region annotated. The record is from RefSeq and is a predicted model, not a curated record. NCBI's taxonomy places the organism in Eukaryota, Viridiplantae, Streptophyta, Magnoliopsida, Solanales, Solanaceae. The transcript is spliced from 5 exons.
CAUUCCAAACGGGCUCUUAAUAAAAUUCAGAUUUUACGAUAUACUGGCGAAAUUGAGGUUUCGUAUCUCCUUCCUUAUUCAUAUCUUUACUGUUAUUUUUCCUUUAAUUUUGACCAAUCUCGCCCCUGUUAUAGAUCAGAUUUUGUUCCUUUAUGGUGUAUUUUUUUCAAAGAUUGUGUUUUGGUGCGUCUCUGUGGUUGUAUUAUUCUUCAGAUUAAAGAAUACCUUGGUGGGUUUUGAGGGAAUUUUAAAAAUAGACCUUUUAUUGUUGAACAGCCUGGCUAUAAACAUCAAGAUUGUAUUUUUUUGUGUGUUGUGGGGUUGAAUUUGAUUUAGAUCACAGAUGGGAUGGGUAGCUUUUGUGGUUGUUGGAUAUAUUUUUUGUUUUUGAGUGGAAGAACUCAGCAAGAGUAAUCAAAGAUUGUAUUUUGGUUUUGUGGGGUUUGAGGAAACUUGAAAGUUGGUUUUUGUUUGUGGGGAAGAUUGAUUGACCUUUGGUGUGUUCUGAAGUUGAUUUUUGAUUCUGAUGAAAGAGUACUUUUGUGGGUCUUGAGGGUCGGGUGUUUGUUAAUGAGGAAGGGAAUAAGCAACAGUAUAUCAAAGAUUGUACUUUUGGUGUGUAUUGAAGUUCAGGUUGAAAAAAACAUACUUUUAGUGGAUUUGAGGGAAUCGAAACGUUGUUAGUUGUGUGUUGGUGGGGAAAGUUAAGCUACAGUCAUCCAAGAUUGUUCUUUUGGUGUGUUUUUUGAAGUUUAGAUUGGAAAGAAACAUACUUCUUGUGGAUUUGAAGGAGUCGAAACAUUGUUGGUUGUGUGUUGGUGGGGAAAGUUAAGCUACAGUCAUCAAAGAUUGUUCUUUUGGUGUGUUCUGAAGUUCAGAUUGGAAAGAAACAUACUUCUUGUGGAUUUGAAGGAGUCGAAACUUUGUUGGUUGUGUGUUGGUGGGGAAAGUUAAGCUACAGUCAUCAAAGAUUGUUCUUGUGGCGUGUUUUGAAGUUCAGAUUGAAAAGAAACAUACUACUUGUGGAUUUGAAGGAGUCGAAACAUUGUUGGUUGUGUGUUGGUGGGGAAAGUUAAGCUACUGUAAUCAAAGAUUGUUCUUUUGAAGUUCUAAUUGAAAAGAAACAUACUUCUUGUUGAUUUGAAGGAGUCGAGACAUUGUUGGUUGUGUGUUGGUGGGAAAUUUAAGCUACAGUAAUCAAAGAUUGUACUUUUGUGUGUUUUGAAGUUCAGAUUAAAAAAAAAAGACAUACUUCUUGUGGAUUUGAGGAAAUCAAAAGGUUGUUUGUUGUGUGUUGGUGGGGCAAAGUUAAGCAUCAGUCAUGUUCUUUGGUGCAGUGGUGUGGGAUCCGUGGCUAAUUGUUGCUCAAAUUGGGUGUAUUCAAUGCUUAUACUAUUUGAUAUUAGGGAUAUUCUUGGAAAUUCUUGUAGGGACUCGUGUUUCUCGAAGGAGUCUUGUCUAUUUCUUUGAUUACGCCACUGUUACUGUUUCAACUGUCACCGGAUGGUGCGUCAUUGGUUCCUUUCUUCUCAGUUCACUUGCAGGAGCUGGCAUUUUACUCUAUUUGAUUGAGAGGGCAAAGAAGUGCCUAGAUUUUUCUGCAACACUCUACAUCAUCCAUCUUUUUAUAUGCAUUGUCUAUGGUGGUUGGCCUUCCUCAUUAACAUGGUGGAUUGUGAAUGUUACUGGGCUUGGUGUGAUGGCAUUGUUAGGUGAAUAUUUGUGUAUAAAACGUGAAUUACGAGAAAUUCCCAUUCCAAGAUACCGAUCAAGUAAUGAACAAAAAUUAGAGCAGUAAUUGGAGUUGCAAAUUUGUCAUUAUUACCACAAGCAUGACAAAAAUGGAAGUCAGGGAGAGGGAGUCAGAAUCUCAAGAAACUGAUGGGAGUUAAUGGGAUGAAAGUGCAGAAUAUUGUUCAGAGACCUCGAGCGUCAUGGAGAUUAAGUUUCAAUGGAUAAAGAGGGAUCCCUAGAUACCAUGUCGCCGUGGGAGAGUUUAAAAUGAGUGUUUGACUAAGUAGAUGUUCAACAGCAAACAACAUUUUUCCUUUAGUCAUGCAGCCGGUGGCUUCUUUGACUCCUACACUAUUUUGAGAAGAUUUAAAGCGUCUCUAUGCAAUAUAUUUCUCUUGCCUGUGGCAAUGACAUACUGGGGACUGCUCGGUAAUUGCCAAAUCCACAGAGAAAACAAGCUAAGCAGCUGAUUUAUUAGGUGAUUUCUUUUCAAUCUGAGGAAAGUUAGAAAGAAAGGAUAGCAACUUUAAUUUGGAUGUUCGUUGUUGCCAAGCUACUUGUAUAUUAAGUUAUUUAGUCAUGAUUGAUCAUUUGUCAAGUUGCAAUUUUUUGCAGCCAAUCUUCUGAUCAGAUAGUUAGAAGUACUUUGAUCCUACUUGUUCCUGCUGGGUUGUCUUUCCUUGUGUUUGAACCAGGAUAAUACAAAUGGUUGAAGAAUUUGUUCGAGUUACUAAUAUAUCAGAAAUUCAGAAAAUCUUCCAGGUUCUGAAUAGGAGAAAAAGCUAGUCAAGUUGCUAAAUGUAAAUUUUAUGAAGUUCUAUUCAGAACAUGUAGAACGAAAAGCGUCUUUUUUCAAUGUUUCAAAGUGCAGAAAGAGACAGUAAAAACAUUUCAUCUUCCUUGAUAAUGAAUGAAGGGAAAAAGUUGAAGGUACUUGUUCAAAUCAAGUUUUAGAA